Molecule: ribosomal RNA, 545 nt
Filed under: uncultured bacterium
Lineage: Bacteria
Description: bacterial SSU rRNA
Rfam family: Bacterial small subunit ribosomal RNA
Source: RNAcentral
AGAGUUUGAUCAUGGCUCAGAACGAACGCUGGCGGCAUGGAUUAGGCAUGCAAGUCGAACGCUUGUAGCAAUACAGGAGUGGCGAAAGGGUGAGGAACACGUGAGUAACUUGCCCCCAAGUUGGGAAUAACUCCGGGAAACUGGAGCUAAUACCGAAUGUGAUUAUAGAGUCGCAUGACUUUAUGAUUAAAGAUUUAUCGCUUGGGGAUAGGCUCGCGUUCCAUUAGCUAGUUGGUGAGGUAACGGCUUACCAGGGCUCUGACGGGUAGCUGGUCUGAGAGGACGACCAGCCACACUGGAACUGAGACACGGUCCAGACACCUACGGGUGGCAGCAGUCGAGAAUUUUUCACAAUGGGGGAAACCCUGAUGGAGCGACGCCGCGUGGGGGAUGAAUGGCUUCGGCCCGUAAACCCCUGUCAUUCGCGAUCAAUGCGUGUUGUUUAAGAGAUGACAUGUUGAUAGUAGCGGAAGAGGAAGGGACGGCUAACUCUGUGCCAGCAGCCGCGGUAAUACAGAGGUCCCGAGCGUUGUUCGGAUUCACUG